UGGGGAAUAUUGGACAAUGGGGGAAACCCUGAUCCAGCAAUGCCGCGUGAGUGAUGAAGGCCUUCGGGUUGUAAAGCUCUUUUGUCAGGGACGAUGAUGACGGUACCUGACGAAUAAGCUCCGGCUAACUUCGUGCCAGCAGCCGCGGUAAUACGAGGGGAGCUAGCGUUGUUCGGAAUUACUGGGCGUAAAGGGCGUGUAGGCGGUACCAUAAGUCAGAUGUGAAAGCCCUAGGCUUAACCUAGGAAUUGCAUUUGAUACUGUGGAACUAGAGAUCGAGAGAGGUAAGUGGAAUUACGAGUGUAGAGGUGAAAUUCGUAGAUAUUCGUAAGAACACCAGUGGCGAAGGCGACUUACUGGCUCGAUACUGACGCUAAGGCGCGAAAGCGUGGGGAGCAAACAG
Molecule: ribosomal RNA, 403 nt
Filed under: uncultured bacterium
Lineage: Bacteria
Description: bacterial SSU rRNA
Rfam family: Bacterial small subunit ribosomal RNA
Source: RNAcentral